UGUUGACCAGGACAACGCGAAGCCCCAGCUCUCUUCUUUCCAGCUUACCUCCUGACUCUGAGGAUGAAACCUGAAACCAUCCCGCAGAUGACAGCGGCUGCCCUGACAAGACCAGCCACAGGCCCAGACCACCCAGGCUUUUUGAGGUAAACCAUCGCCCCACUGGUGCCUGCGCAGAUGGACCAGGAGUGAUCCCCUGAAAGGACCUACUAUCACUUUUGCCUCAUUAUAAUACUAACAUCUCCAUCCAGAGAGGAGCCUCCGCCUCAUUUACACAACAUUCAAGCCUGCGCCGUGCCCACUGCCUGCAAUACUCCCUGAGGCCACUGCCGCCGCCUGUGCCCUGUGCUGCUCCCCAACGUGCUCACCCCACGGCGACCUGUGCUGCUCCCACUGGCCUGUGCUGGUUCUUCGGCCACCGUUGCCCUUUGGCCUGCACUGCAUCCUCUGGCCUGCGCCGUUCCCUCCGGGCACCGCUGCUCCCUCUGGCCACCGCUGCUGCCUACGGUCUGCGCUGCUCUGACCGACCUCCGCUCGCUCCGCACAGUGACGUGCGCUGCUCUGCCUGGCCUGGGCUGCUUCCUUCAGCCCCCGCCGCUCCAUUGGCCUGCGCUGCUCCCUCUCGCCUGCGCUGCUCCCUCUGGCCACCGCCGCUCCCUAUGAUCUUUGCUGCUCUGAUCGACCUGCG
This is a long non-coding RNA of Canis lupus familiaris (dog), 688 nucleotides long. RefSeq lists it as uncharacterized. The transcript is spliced from 3 exons. The record is from RefSeq and is a predicted model, not a curated record. Lineage: Eukaryota; Metazoa; Chordata; Mammalia; Carnivora; Canidae.